Molecule: ribosomal RNA, 3102 nt
Filed under: Triticum aestivum (bread wheat)
Lineage: Eukaryota; Viridiplantae; Streptophyta; Magnoliopsida; Poales; Poaceae
Description: partial small subunit ribosomal RNA
Source: RNAcentral
AUGGAGCUUGUGGUGGGCACUUCGGAGGAGAAUAUGCGGUCCCUCCUGAGCAAACUAGGCGGCCUUCUCUCCGAGGAGUACACCCUGAUUAGGGGCGUCGACGGGGACCUCCAGUACAUCAACGACGAGCUCGCCACCAUGCAGUCCUUCCUCCGCUACGUUGGCUCAAGACGUGGCCACGACGACCUGACCAAGGACUGGAUGAAGCAGAUCCGCGACCUCACCUACGACAUUGAAGACUGCAUCGACGACUCCGGCAACCGCCUCCACGGCCUGCCCACCGGCAUGCCCUGCUAUUUCCUCCUCAACAGCGUCUUCGAGAUCCUCACGUGGUGGCCUCGCCGCGAUAUUGCCGCUAGGAUAUCAACCCUCAAGAUGAGGGCGCAGCAAAUCGGCGAGCGGCGCCAAAGGUAUGUUGUCAACGACCCCUGGACCGGCGAACCGCCUGCGGGUGCCGGUCCGCCCACCAAGGCCGCAGUAUUUGUAGCUGCGGACAACCAGGAUGUCCGCCUUCAGCUUGUCGACAUGAAGGACCCCGUGGGAGUGGAGCAGCAGAUGAAGGACCUCAGAAGGUGGGUGACUUACCUUGUCGGGUUCGGAGGGGUGGGGAAGACCGCAAUAGCCACCGCAUUGUACAGGAAAUUUAAGGAGAAUUUCGUCCACACUGCGGUGGUCACAGUGUCUCAGAGCUCCGACGUGGAAGCCAUUCUCAGGAGCAUCAUCAAUCAAAUCAAGCCCAAGGCCAGCAAUCGCCAGGAGGAGGGCGGUUCAACCAAGAGUGCCAUGGCCACUAUUAAAGGCGUAAUGGUCAAGUACUGCAGCGCUGGCACCUCGGAGGGAAAGCAUGAUGGCACCAAGAAACAACUCAUGAACGAGCUCAAGCAGCUCAUCGAGAAAAAAAGGUACUUGUUGUUAAUUGAUGACGUAUGGUCUGCAAGUAUGCUGGAAAAUAUUAUAAAAGAACUUCCUGAUGAUAAAACCAGCAGAAUAAUAGUUACGACGCGGUUCCAUUCUGUGGCUACACCCAAAAGAGACACAGAACUUCGUCGAGUCACUGGUCUUGCUGAAGAAAAAUCCAAGAAAUUAUUUGAGCAGGCCUUCUCUGAGUCCAAAGGAAACAAAGAUGUUGCUAUUAUAUGGCCUCAAGAUUUUUCUGCACCACCCAACACAGAAGAAGUCAUCGCCCAGGAUGUGCCCAGGGAAACUAGGGGCCGAAUCCAGCCACAUUGGCGACUCAAUAUUUUGACACACAAAGUGCGCACAAGAAUACUGCUGAGAAGAGUACGCCGUCCAACGAAGAAAAAACAUGUCCAUUCAUGUAAGCAAGGCACCCCUGAAACUGAAAGCCAAGGUAGUGAAGAUGCCACUGUCCCCAAUGAAGUCUGGAAGAUGUGUGGGGGGCUGCCAUUGGCCAUAGUUACCAUGGCUGGUCAUGUGGCCUGCAACCCGGACAAAUCAUUGAAGGAUUGGUCCGACGUUUGCAGCUCUCUAUUCCCGGAGUUAGGACAAGAUCAUAUCAAAAAACUUACGCAGGAGGAAGUGGGUAGGAUCAUUAGCUAUUGCUAUGACGACAUGCCUGCGGAAAUCAAGACUUGCUCGAUGUAUUUGAGCAUAUUUCCGAAGGGUGACAGAAUCAGCCGGAAGCGUUUGACAAGGCGAUGGAUAGCCGAGGGCUUUGUCCGCGAGAAGCAUGGGCUGAGUAUGGAAGAAGUUGCAGAGACGUAUUUCAAUCAUCUCAUAAGAAGGAAGAUCAUCCGGCCAGUGGAGCACAGCAGCAAUGGAAAGGUAAAGAAAUGCACAGUUCAUGACAUGGUUCUCGAGCACAUUGUAGCAAAGGCAAGCGAAGAGAAUUUCAUCACCGUAGUUGGUGGUAACUGGCUAAUGCAGCCAUCUAGCAGCAAGGUCCGUCGGCUGUCCCUCCAAGCCUGUGAUUCCAACCGUGCAAAGGAUACAGAAAAGAUGAACAUGUCACAUGUUCGAUCAGUAACCAUGUUUGGAAGUUUGAACAACCAGUUGCAUGCCCAUUUGUUCAAGCUUGAAAUUGUGCAGAUCAUGGAUCUUGAAGGAUGCAAGGGUUUUAAACAGCACCAUAUCAUAGAGAUUUGCAGAAUGGUUCUGCUCAAAGAGACAGAUAUUGUCGAGUUGCCAGCCACCAUAUGCCAGCUUGAAUGGCUGGUUAACAUACUUGGUGGCAAUAAAACAACACGGAAGGCACUGAAGCUUCCAGAAGAGUUGAACAGUAGAAAGAAAAUGAAGGCUUUGCGCAUACUGUCGGGGAUUGAGAUUGAUGAGGCAUCAGUGGAUCUUCAUCAUUUGACUGAGCUGAGGAAGCUUGCAAUCUACAAGCUGAAUACCAAGGGGAGCACUGCAAAUUUCAAAGAUUUAAUCUCCUCUAUUGAGUACCUCGGUGGCUAUUCUCUACAGACCCUUGUAAUUGAUGACGAGUCAUCGGAGUUUAUCAAAUCACUAGAUGACCUGUCAUCCCCUCCGAAAUUUCUUAUUGCCCUUGAGUUAUCAGGCAAGAUGGCUAAGCUCCCCAAUUGCUUGCAACACCUCCAUACUCUCAGCAAGUUAACCCUUUCUGUUACAGCUCUCCGGACUGAUAACUUAAAGGAUCUCAGCAACCUAGAGGCAUUGUUUUCUCUCACCUUUUCUUUUAGGGAAAAAGGGCAGGAUCGAGAAACACUGGCCAUUGUCGCAGAAAAUAAGAUGUACUCCAAGGGGAAGGUCACAGUUCCAGCAGAUGGCUUUAAGAGUCUUAAGCUUAUGCGCCUCUUUGUCUCUGGUCUUGUCUUGCCAUUAUUGAGCUUCUCCAAUAAGGCUAUGCCAGACCUGGAAAGGCUUGAGCUACGUUACAACAUGCUGGAGGGCCUUUAUGGGGUAGAAAACCUUGCAAAACUCAAGGAGGUGCAUUUUACAUCAGACGCCAAAGCUAAUGAAGACAUCAAACGUGAGGCUGAACUUGGUAGCAAGAGGUAUGGAUAUGAUGGCAGCACCGAGCGCAACGCCAAAUAUACGGUGCGAGAUGGAGAACGUAGCACUCAGCUGUGGCUUCUUCAGAGGAAGAUGGGGAGACAAUGGGCGGUUUGCAACAGGAGCUGA